AAUCGUUGGUGGCAUAACUUCCCAAAUUGGGCGGAAGCGACGCGCGCAUAGAUUUGAUAAUGCAUUAGUGCCGAACCCGCCAUUAUCAGCGGGUUUUUUUAU
Molecule: regulatory RNA element, 102 nt
Organism: Providencia sneebia DSM 19967
Lineage: Bacteria; Pseudomonadati; Pseudomonadota; Gammaproteobacteria; Enterobacterales; Morganellaceae
Rfam family: Tryptophan operon leader
About the family: At least 6 amino acid operons are known to be regulated by attenuation.
Source: Rfam